CUGUUGACACUGCCACCUCUGUUGAAUUCUGUGCAAGUCUUAUUAUGUGAUUUUUUUAACCCUUAGAUGGCUGUGGAAUUAUAUUUAGACCGUCCAAAAUUCAGUCAGUCAGUUUUGUAUGGCAGAAAUAUAACAACACUUCCAGACUGCGGUAGAAUCCAUAUAUAGACGAUAGUUAAAACAUCUAUUAUGCGGCGUAACUAUAUUUGUGCUACGGUCCUAAAGUUGGCAGUGACUAUAUAUGGACGAUUAAUUUGGGGGGGAGCUACUCUCCAAAUACUACAGCCGCUUAAGGGUUAAUGUUUGGUCCAAGUGAACAGAACAUGUGACGAAACAGGAUAGGUAGUGUUGGUAAGGAAGGAUGAACCGAAAGUAUGUUAUGGAUGUGAGAGCAAGAUGUGUAUUAGGAUGAGUGAGUUUGAGUAAUGCAGAGGUGUACAGGAAUUUAGAGGAGAAUGAAGAGGAGGAGGAGGAGGAGGAGGAGGAGAGGUGGUGAAAGGAUGAUUAAAGAGAUGGUCAGGAAAUGUGUUGAAGUAAGAGCAAGAUGUGUAUUAGGAUAAGUGUGGAUAAUGAAGAAGUGUACAGAAAAUGUGUUAUAGAUAAGAAAGCAAGAUGUGUAUUGGGGUGAGUGUGAGUAAUGCAGAGGUGUACAGAAAAUGUAUUGUAGAUGGGAAAGCAAGAUGUGUAUUGGGGUGAGUGAGUGUGAGUAUCGCAGAGGUGUACAGAAAAUGUGUUAUAGAUAAGAAAGCAAGAUGUGUAUUGGGGUGAGUGUGAGUAAUGCAGAGGUGUACAGAAAAUGUGUUAUAGAUAAGAAAGCAAGAUGUGUAGUGGGAUGACAGGAUGUGACCAAUGAAGAUGCUGUGUGGAUGUGAGAGCAAGGUAUGUAGAAUGCAGGAUGGUGUGACUGGUCAAACAAAAUUCAUUGGGGUGGUUUAGACAUGUGGGAAUGAAGAAUGGUUAUGAAAGUAGUGUAAUAAGAGGUUAGGGGUGGUUGUUGAUGGCUAUGGAUUGCUUAGAAAAACAUGAAUACAGGAGGUAAGAGAGAGGUGUGAAAGAGAGGUAAGAGGGAGGUGUGAAAGAGAGAGACACAAAUAAAGAGAGGUAAGAGGGAGGUGUGAAAGAGAGAGACACAAAUAAAGAGAGGUAAGAGGGAGGUGUGAAAGAGAGAGACACAAAUAAAGAGAGGUAAGAGGGAGGUGUGAAAGAGAGAGACACAAAUAAAGAGAGGUAAGAGGGAGGUGUGAAAGAGAGAGACACAAAUAAAGAGAGGUAAGAGGGAGGUGUGAAAGAGAGAGACACAAAUAAAGAGAGGUAAGAGGGAGGUGUGAAAGAGAGAGACACAAAUAAAGAGAGGUAAGAGGGAGAUGUGGAUACUGCCAAAAAAGUGUAUGAGUAACAUCAGAGAGGGAAAAGUGCGAAUGUGGAGAAUGUUUGGGAAAGUCCUUUGUCUGGCAGCGGACUCGUAGUGGUUUCUUGCAGACUCCUUACGUUCUUAUGUUCUUAAUAAUAAUAAUGUUACG
Eriocheir sinensis (Chinese mitten crab) is the source of this 1520-nucleotide long non-coding RNA. RefSeq lists it as uncharacterized. The record is from RefSeq and is a predicted model, not a curated record. NCBI's taxonomy places the organism in Eukaryota, Metazoa, Arthropoda, Malacostraca, Decapoda, Varunidae. The transcript has 6 exons.